UUCCAGAAACUGGUGGAAUUUCUUCCUGC
Molecule: non-coding RNA, 29 nt
Filed under: Mus musculus (house mouse)
Lineage: Eukaryota; Metazoa; Chordata; Mammalia; Rodentia; Muridae
Source: RNAcentral